UAGGGAAUCUUCCGCAAUGGACGAAAGUCUGACGGAGCAACGCCGCGUGAGUGAAGAAGGCUUUCGGUUCGUAAAACUCUGUUGUUAGGGAAGAAAAAAUGUAUAGUAACUAUAUACAAAAGAGACGGUACCUAACCAGAAAGCCACGGCUAACUACGUGCCAGCAGCCGCGGUAAUACGUAGGUGGCAAGCGUUGUCCGGAAUUAUUGGGCGUAAAGCGCGCGCAGGUGGUUUAGAAAGUCUGAUGUGAAAGCCCACGGCUCAACCGUGGAGGGUCAUUGGAAACUAAUAAACUUGAGUGCAGGAGAGAAAAGUGGAAUUCCUAGGGUAGCGGUGAAAUGCGUAGAGAUUAGGAGGAACACCGGUGGCGAAAGCGGCUUUUUGGCCUGCAACUGACACUGAGGCGCGAAAGCGUGGGGAGCAAACAGG
RNAcentral lists this ribosomal RNA (429 nucleotides) under Verrucomicrobiota bacterium. Its description in RNAcentral is "Verrucomicrobia bacterium partial 16S ribosomal RNA". It matches the Rfam family "Bacterial small subunit ribosomal RNA", at positions 355 to 776 of the family's 1533-position model. The record is from RNAcentral. Lineage: Bacteria; Pseudomonadati; Verrucomicrobiota.